Non-coding RNA from Chrysemys picta bellii (western painted turtle), 1177 nucleotides. The record is from RefSeq and is a predicted model, not a curated record. Lineage: Eukaryota; Metazoa; Chordata; Testudines; Emydidae.
AUACAGCACUGGCAUGCUCAAGUGCUGCUGCUAUGAAAGAACUUGGCAGGUUUCCAGAUUGCUUGCUAUUUUUGCUCUUGUCUGGGAUUAAAUUUGUGCAUCCACUGCAAUUACCAUGGUGGAAGACCUCAUGCCAUCCCAGGCAGAGAUACAAUGCUAACAGUAGGCAGAUGUACAAAUGAAACAAAAUCUAACCAUUCCUUUUCUGUGUAGGGAAGAAAAAGUUGACCAGCACAAUAUCCUCAAAGGCUUGUAUUUUCCAGCACAUACAAUGCUAUUGGAUGAUUACACAUUAGCUGCAGUCAGCUGCACUAAACUGAAACAUGGAAAUCAACAACUACAAGGAUGUGUUGCGUACUUUUGGCUUUUCUUCUGGCUGGACUACAUGCUGCAAAGAGAAUGAAAGAAACAUGAUCAGCGUGCAAUAGUGGCUGACACCAGAGACGACAGCUUCAGACACGGAUGUAUAUUAUACAUUAUUUAGGAUUUUGUUGAUUAGCAAUAGAAACUGGCAAAUCUCAGGGUGCCAAAGCCUCAGGAAUAAAAGUGGUUAGUAAUGUAAGCAAGUUGGGUCUGUUUUGUACAGCUGGUGAAUUAUCAAAUUGGAUAUCUGCUCUUUGCAAAGCUACUGUAUAGGAUUGGCUAUAGGUGUGAGAUUUAAGGUGCAAUUGACCUGGGAUAAGUGACUUGUACUUUGAAACUGGGAGUAACCUGAAUAUUGCUGUGAUUCCUGGUGUAAGAGACCAUAUUCUACAAAGAUCUGCGGAAUGUGAGAAAUGUUGCUGACUCAGCACCUGGCCAGAUGCUCACAGCCCUGGCAGCCCCAUUAAAGUAAAUAUGUUGUGAUGACUAAGCGCAGGUCUCCACUACCACUUAAGUCGAUUUAACUUACAUUGUUUAGGGGUGUGAAAAAGCCCCCUCCCCCAAGUAACGCAAGUUUUGCGCUGUCUACACCAGCACUAAGUCAGUGGGAGAUGUUCUCCCGUCGACAUAGCUUACGCUUCUCACCGAGGUGGAGUAAUUAUUCUGACGGGAGAGUGCUCUCCCAUCGUCAUAGCAUGUCUUCACCAGACGCGCUACAGCUAGGCAGCUGCACCAAUGAAGCGCUAUAGCGUAGACUUGCCCUAAGUGCAUGUGGUAACUGACCUUAGAUUUUGCCCUGUGUUUUCCAGAGCUA